AGUGUACAUUUUUAGAGCUUGGAGGUUAGGCCACUGAUUGGCCGGUGAACUCACAAGUAUAAGUAGUGUGCUAUGUGACAGGCAAGUUUUUCACUAACACCACAGGGUCUCUGGGCCAACUAGUAGAGUUUGAUAGUAAUCCUUGCUACAAGU
Molecule: small nucleolar RNA, 153 nt
Organism: Otolemur garnettii (small-eared galago)
Lineage: Eukaryota; Metazoa; Chordata; Mammalia; Primates; Galagidae
Source: Ensembl